RNAcentral lists this long non-coding RNA (1123 nucleotides) under Pan troglodytes (chimpanzee). RNAcentral describes it as "long non-coding RNA NONPTRT003936". Lineage: Eukaryota; Metazoa; Chordata; Mammalia; Primates; Hominidae. The record is from RNAcentral.
CGGGGGACACACUCCGUGAUCCCCUCCUGGCUGGAGGGGUCAGGCUUGGUGGACCCAGCAAGCAGCCGGAUGGAGAAGGUGGCACCAGAUGCAGACCCCUACCGUCCAGGACCGCAAGCCCUCGCCGGCUCUGCGUGCUUUUAGGUUUUGUCUCCACCUCUGCACACCCACACUCGCCUCCUGGGCCGCGACAGCUUCCUUCUGUCAAUCAGGUGUGGACGGGAAGGUCUCGAAGUUUCCUCGCCUGAGUUGAAAGCUGGAGGUGGGGGCACCUCUGCCCGUUCCUAACUGCCCCGUUAUAAGGUCCCCCUCCCCACAAUUGGUUCUCACCUCGCCCUCGGAGCUCAUGGGAGAUCCCUCCGUCCCUCCUACUGUGCCCUCGGGCAGAUGAGUCUGGUCCCAGCUUCUGGACUGCCCACUGUCGGCCACUUGAGAGUUGGGGACGGUGGGGCAUUGUGACGCUCUCCAACCUUGGAACGCGGUGGCAAAGUGGCCGAUCAAUAUAUGGGACAAGUGGGGGCGGGGGGGCGGACUCUAAGGUGGAAAAAACACUACUACUUGGGAUUUAAGGAAGCAAUCUGGAUUCUGUCUCCCCUUGGUUCUUUGGAGCUUAGAGGUCUAACGGCGACAUUCCUCCUACAGUAAGGGCUCUUCUGGGUCCCUCGUUUCCAAAGACAUGAAAGUUCUGACCUGAAAACGGGGGCCGGGGAGGGUGAUGUCACAACCAUAUAACGCAGCUCCUUCAGCCGACUCCCACCCGCAAGACCUGAGACCUGACGGAUAAAAGCAGAGAGGAGUCAGAGUGAGCGCUGCGUUUGGGAAACUGCAUUCCAGGGCAGCAAGACUGGUGCCAAGACGGAAUCGUGGCAAAAGCCUCCAGAGGUCUUCCUUAAUAUAUGUCAGCCGUGGAGUGGUGUACUUAAGGAGAGAGAGACUUGGAAAAAUACAGACCGAGAACAAGGCCAUGUGGAGAUAGAGGCAGAGACUGAAGUUGUGCCACCAAAGGCAAAGAAUAUCAAGUAUCGUCAGUAACCACAGGAAGCUGGAAGAGGCCAGGAAAGGUUUUUCUUAGAGACGUUGGAAGGAGCCUGACCCUGGAACACCUUGAUUUUAGACUUCUGAC